This 448-nucleotide ribosomal RNA is filed under the name uncultured bacterium. RNAcentral describes it as "bacterial SSU rRNA". It matches the Rfam family "Bacterial small subunit ribosomal RNA", at positions 330 to 794 of the family's 1533-position model. The record is from RNAcentral.
UCCAGACUCCUACGGGAGGCAGCAGUGGGGGAUAUUGCACAAUGGGGGGAACCCUGAUGCAGCGACGCCGCGUGGGUGAAGGAGCGUUUCGGCGCGUAAAGCCCUAUCGGCAGGGAAGAAGGAGGACGGUACCUGACUAAGAAGCCCCGGCUAACUACGUGCCAGCAGCCGCGGUAAUACGUAGGGGGCAAGCGUUAUCCGGAUUUACUGGGUGUAAAGGGGGCGCAGACGGCAGCGCAAGCCAGGAGUGAAAGCCCGGGGCCCAACCCCGGGACUGCUCUUGGAACUGCGCGGCUGGAGUGCAGGAGGGGCAGGCGGAAUUCCUGGUGUAGCGGUGAAAUGCGUGGAUAUCAGGAGGAACACCGGUGGCGAAGGCGGCCUGCUGGACUGCGACUGACGUUGAGGCCCGAAAGCGUGGGGAGCAAACAGGAUUAGAUACCCCAGUACU